CUGUAGCCUAAUAUUGGGUUUCGAUGUUGCAUGCACAGGAUAGAUGGGACACUGGGAAACAAUCGCUUUGGCGGUUGCGGAGUGGCCGUUGGGAUACCAUCCUUGCGAUAUUGGAAUUCUAACCUGCGGCUCUGAAUCGAGUCGGGGGACAUUGUUAGGUGGGCAGUUUGACUGGGGCGGUCGCCUCCUAAAAAGUAACGGAGGCGUUCAAAGGUUCGCUCAGCUUGAACGGAAAUCAAGCAAAAGAGUGCAAACGCAGAAGCGAGCCUAACUGCGAGACUGACGGGUCGAGCAGUAACGAAAGUUGGAGUUAGUGAUCCGGUGGUAUGUGAGUGGAAAUGCCAUCGCUCAACGGAUAAAAGUUACCCUGGGGAUAACAGGCUGAUCUCCCCCAAGAGUCCACAUCGACGGGGAGGUUUGGCACCUCGAUGUCGGCUCAUCGCAUCCUGGGGCUGUAUUCGGUCCCAAGGGUUUGGCUGUUCGCCAAUUAAAGCGGUACGCGAGCUGGGUUCAGAACGUCGUGAGACAGUUCGGUCCCUAUCUGUCGUGGGCGCAGGAUAUUUGAUGGGAGCUGUCCCUAGUACGAGAGGACCGGGACGGACGUACCUCUGGCGCACCAGUUGUUCCGCCAGGAGCAUAGCUGGGCAACUACGUACGGAUCGGAUAAACGCUGAAAGCAUCUAAGCGUGAAGCCGACCCAAAGAUAAGAUAUCCCAUUGUUUCAAACAAGUAAGACCCCUUGAAGACUACAAGGUUGAUAGGCACGAUGUGUAAGUGGAGCGAUCCAUUCAGCAAGCGUGUACUAAUAGGUCGAGGGCUUGACCAC
Molecule: ribosomal RNA, 826 nt
Filed under: human gut metagenome
Description: bacterial LSU rRNA
Rfam family: Bacterial large subunit ribosomal RNA
Source: RNAcentral